UAAUUAAAACAGACGAGGUCAAUGGGCGAUCAAGAAGGCCCAUAGCCUAGGUGGUGACCUCCAUUUCACUUUGGAAGAGUGCCUUCCUAAGGACGAUCCAAGUAGUUGAUCCUACGUCAUAAUUUGUGACAACGGGGGCUUGCAUUUGCACGGCCCCUAC
Molecule: small nuclear RNA, 160 nt
Organism: Solanum stenotomum
Lineage: Eukaryota; Viridiplantae; Streptophyta; Magnoliopsida; Solanales; Solanaceae
Product: U1 spliceosomal RNA
Exons: 1
Source: RefSeq, a predicted model, not a curated record